GGGGCACUCUUAGAACCCCUGUGUCGUUGUGUUAAUAGCGCUUGCUUUGGCCGAGCAUCGUGGUUAGUGAAUC
This 73-nucleotide non-coding RNA is filed under the name unclassified sequences. Its description in RNAcentral is "L13-Bacteroidia ribosomal protein leader". It matches the Rfam family "L13-Bacteroidia ribosomal protein leader". The record is from RNAcentral.